GAUACUAAGAGUUUGAUCGUGGCUCAGGGUGAACGCUGGCGACGUGCCUAAGACAUGCAAGUCGAACGAGAUUCGUAUUUUACAUAAGGAAAUUACAUAAUAAUUUUCUUGUGUAGAAUACGAUGACAGUGGCGAACGGGUGAGUAAUAAGUACGAACGUACCUCUAAGUGGAGCAUAGCCUCGAGAAAUCGUGGAUAAUACUCCAUAGUCCUCGUAUUUCAUACAAGGAAAUUCAAAGCACUAAUAUCUAAACUCAAAACUUUUUUGUUUUGGAUUUUGAAUAUUUAGAUUUUAAAUUUAUUUAGGAUUUCGAUAUUAGAAUUUAGGAUUUUCUCGCAUGGAAUGCGAGGUAAAGAUUUAUCGCUUAGAGAGCGGCGUACUCGCUACCAGCUUGUUGGUGAGGUAAUGGCUCACCAAGGCGAUGACGGCUACCGGCUCUUAGCGGAGGGUCCGGCACAAUGGGACUGAGACACGGCCCAUACACCUACGGGUGGCAGCAGUUAGGAAUAUUGCGCAAUGGACGAAAGUCUGACGCAGCGACGUCGCGUGUGGGAUGACGGCCUUCGGGUUGUAAACCACUUUUAUUUCGUCAUCAUGGCGAGAUGAAUAAACAGCUACUAAUUACGUGCCAGCAGUCGCGGUAAUACGUAAGCUGUAAGCGUUACCCGGUUUUAUUGGGCGUAAAGGGUCUGUAGGUGGUUUUUUAAGUCCUAUUUCAAAGACUCCGACUUAAUCGGAGAAAGGGGUAGGAUACUGAAAGACUAGAGUUAUAUCGGGGUUACUGGAAUUUAUAGCGUAGGGGUAAAAUCCGUGGAUACUAUAAAGAACACCAAGGGCGAAGGCGGGUAACUAGGUAUACACUGACACUGAAAGACGAAAGCUAGGGGAGCAAAUCAGAUUAGAGACCUGAGUAGUCCUAGCUGUAAACGAUGUCUGUUAGUUCUACGAGCUUAUGCUUGUGGGAUGUAAGCUAACGCGUUAAACAGACCGCCUGGGGAGUAUAGCCGCAAGGCCGAAACUCAAACGAAUUGGCGGGGAGGCGCACAACCAGUGGAGCAUGUGGUUUAAUUCGAUACGAAGCGAUGAACCUUACCUGGGCUUGAAAUCCUGUUUAUGUUUUUCCCGAAAAGGAAAAACUCAGUGGCAGGACAGCUGUUGCAUGGCUGUCGUCAGCUCGUGACGUGAGUUGUUCUCUUAAGUGAGGUAACGAGCGCAACCCCUAUUCUGUGUUAUUUUUUCACAGAAGACUGCUCAGCAUUAUUUUUGUUGGGAGGAAGGAGGGGACGACGUCAAGUCAGCAUGAUGCUUAUGUCCAGGGCGACACACAUCCUACAAUGGGAAGUACAAUGAGUUGCAAUACCGCGAGGUGGAGCUAAUCUAUAAAACUUCCCUCAGUUGGGAUUGCAGGCUGAAAUUCGCCUGCAUGAACUUGGAAUUGGUAGUAAUCGCAGAUCAGCAGACUGCGGUGAAUACGUUCUCGCCUCUUGCACACACAGCCCGUCAAAUCAGCAAAGUUGAGGGUGCCCGAAGGACUCCGAUCAAUCGGAGGACUAAGGUAAAUUCAGCGAUGAGGGUUAAGUCGUAAAUUGUUGCGACUCAUGGAAGUAAUUCCAUGAACAAAUCUGGC
This 1628-nucleotide ribosomal RNA is filed under the name Patescibacteria group bacterium. RNAcentral describes it as "bacterial SSU rRNA". It matches the Rfam family "Bacterial small subunit ribosomal RNA". The record is from RNAcentral. RNAcentral also lists the same sequence under 1 other name.